This 1751-nucleotide long non-coding RNA is filed under the name Fragaria vesca (wild strawberry). RNAcentral's name for it is "long non-coding RNA (FVES_LNC001645)". The record is from RNAcentral. Lineage: Eukaryota; Viridiplantae; Streptophyta; Magnoliopsida; Rosales; Rosaceae.
UCAAUGUGUAAUCUUAGAUAUGUAUUUAUUUCAUCUAGCCAUCCACGUGACACUAUAAAUCUAUAAUGUGUAUAUGUGAACGCCAUUAACAAAAUUGAAACUAAAAAAACUAGUCUAAGUGCUUUAAACACAAAAGAGGACCCGAAGUUAAUUAAAGAAGUUAUGAGCUGGCGCUUAAUCUGAUUGGAUCAAAAAUGAAAAGAUUAGAGAAACAAAUUGAGGAUUUUCGGUCUUUAUAUGGGCCAAUUACAUAUAAGUCCACUUUGAGACAUUUUUUCCCACAUAGAUCCACCCAAACAUUUUUACCCACAUAAGUCCACCCAAGUCUAAAUAAAGUUUUGUAUUAAGUAUUAAAGUUCAACAUAAUUACAGACUGCCAUCCAACAAAAAAAAUUAGAUUUUCUCCUUUAUAUUUACAAGAAUGCCACUAGUAUAAAAAGUCAACAACCACUCUCAUUUCGGAACAGUCUCCGGCGGACCUCCGGUGAGAUUUCCAGCGGACCUCUGGCGAGGUUUCCGGCGAGAUUUCCGACUGACCUCCGGCGAGGUUUCCGGCCGACCUCCGACGAUGACAAAAAUUACUACUACCAGCUAAAAAAGCUACUACCACCAGCUAUAAAAGCUACUACCACCGCAUAACAAAAGCUACUACAAAAGUUUCCGGCCGACCUCCGGCGAGAUUUCUGACCGACCUCCGGCGAGGUUUCCGACCGACCUCCGACGAUGACAAAAAUUAACUACUACAAGCUAAAAAAAGACUAUUACCACCAGCUAUAAAAGCUACUACCACCGCCUACAAAAGCUACUACUGUGAGAUUUCUGAUGAAAACAAAAAGCUACUACCACUAGCCACAAAAACUACUACCACAAGCUACAAAAGCUACUACCACCGCCUACAAAAGCUACUACUGUGAGGUUUUCGACGAACACAAAAACUACUACCACCAGCGACAAAAGCUACUACCACCAGCUAACAAAAGCUACUACCACCGCCUACAAAAGCUACUACGUCCAUUGAUUCAUCAAAUUCCACAACUAAAUUAGUAGUCAGUGAUGCGUGAUCAAGAUUGAACAAGAAUAGAAAUGAAUCGGAAUACUCACAAAACCAUAGCCCUUGGAUCGGCCGGUGUCCUUGUCAGAAAUGACAACCGCCUCAAGGCGGUGGAUUCUCGAUAGAUCUGCACCUCACCGACGAAUCACCUUCGUCGUCACCGUCUCAAACUCAUAGGAGAAGGUGCGGAGAAGAAGAUGACGAGGCUGAUCGGAGAAGGUGCGGCCAGUGAUGACGGGGCUGAUCAGAGGAUCGGAAAAGGUAGAGGAAGGUCCACACACACUGGGGAGAUCUACUAAGGCGCAUAAAUCUCUACUUCCAACGGCGGCGGACGCCGAACAAGUGGUGGAUGACGUCGUCGGAGUUGGUUGGACCUUGUAGAUCCGGCUGCACGUUGAGGAGAUGCAGUCAAGGUCGAAGCGGAGGUCGUCAAGGAGUCGUCGACGGUGGAUCCAGAUGUCAUCGUCAAGGCGACGGCAUCGUCAGAGCCGGAGAUACAAUCAAGGCUGAGUCGGAAGUAGCGCCGAGGCGGCGGCGGCUUCGCCAUGGCAGUGGGUUCACGAGAGAGAGAGAGAGAGAGAGAGAGAGAGAGAGAGAGAGAGAGAGAGAGAGAGAGAGAGAGAGAGAGAGAGAGAGAGAGAGAGAGAGAGAGAGAGAGAGAGAGAGAGAGAGAGAGAGAGAGAGAGAGAGAGAGAGAGAG